RNAcentral lists this ribosomal RNA (253 nucleotides) under uncultured bacterium. Its description in RNAcentral is "partial 16S ribosomal RNA". It matches the Rfam family "Bacterial small subunit ribosomal RNA", at positions 524 to 776 of the family's 1533-position model. The record is from RNAcentral.
UACAGAGGGGGCAAGCGUUGUUCGGAAUUACUGGGCGUAAAGGGCGCGUAGGCGGCCUGUUAAGUCGAACGUGAAAUCCCCGGGCUCAACCCGGGAACUGCGUCCGAUACUGGCAGGCUUGAAUCCGGGAGAGGGAUGCGGAAUUCCAGGUGUAGCGGUGAAAUGCGUAGAUAUCUGGAGGAACACCGGUGGCGAAGGCGGCAUCCUGGACCGGCAUUGACGCUGAGGAGCGAAAGCCAGGGGAGCAAACGGG